Molecule: non-coding RNA, 45 nt
Filed under: Schistosoma margrebowiei
Lineage: Eukaryota; Metazoa; Platyhelminthes; Trematoda; Strigeidida; Schistosomatidae
Source: RNAcentral
GUCCAGUUGAUGAGUGCCAGAUAGGACGAAAUGCGCGUCCUGGAU